CUCUCUCUCUCUCUCUCACUCUCUCUCUCUCUCUCUCUCGUUCUCGUCUCCGAUCGCUUCUCGGCGGUUGUGAUCGAGGAAGUAGUACCGCAUUACGUUGUAAGAGAAGAGGCGAGGGCUUCUUCUGCUUCUUGGCCUACUUCGAUCGACGGUGGGGGAUGGCUUCCGGGAGCUACAGGAACGGAGGCCCCAAACCGACCUCCAAGCUCGACCGCCUGCCCCCCUCCACUGCCUACUCCACGCCCAAGCCCUCCGCCAAGCCCAGGCCCUCCGCCGCUCCCGUCCCUCGUCGUGGCGGCUCCGUCGCUCCUGCCGCUGCCUCCGCCGGCAAAGCCGGCGGCGAUGCUGGAGUUCCUGGAAGAGUUAGAGUGGCUGUAAGACUUCGGCCUAGAAAUGCAGAGGAAACAAUAGCAGAUGCAGAUUUUGCGGACUGUGUUGAAUUGCAGCCUGAGCUUAAAAGGUUAAAGCUCCGCAAGAACAAUUGGGAGUCAGAAACCUAUGAAUUUGAUGAAGUGCUGACAGAAUUUGCCUCACAAAAACGUGUAUAUGAAGUUGUUGCAAAACCUGUUGUGGAGAGUGUUCUGGAAGGGUAUAAUGGUACAGUUAUGGCCUAUGGACAGACGGGUACUGGAAAGACUUAUACUCUUGGAAGGCUUGGUGAGGAAGACACUGCAGCACGAGGCAUUAUGGUCCGUGCAAUGGAAGACAUUUUGGCAGAUACAUCUCCAGAGACCGAUUCUGUUUCUGUAUCAUAUUUACAGUUAUACAUGGAAAGCAUACAGGACCUUCUUGUUCCUGCAAAUGACAACAUUGCCAUCAUAGAAGAUCCAAAGACAGGGGAUGUUUCACUACCAGGGGCUACCAGUGUAGAUAUUAGAGAUCAAAAAAGCUUUAUGGAGCUCUUAAGAUUAGGAGAAGUGCACCGUUUUGCUGCUAAUACAAAGCUGAACACCGAGUCAUCUCGGAGCCAUGCUAUUCUAAUUGUCCAUGUUAAGAGGUCACUUAAGGGAAGACAUGAUGCAGAUCAUGGUUUUCCCAGUGAGAAUGGUACUAAUUCCACCUUGGUCAAAUCUUUCAGACCGCCCAUAGUUAGAAAAAGCAAACUUGUUGUUGUGGAUCUUGCCGGUUCAGAGAGGAUUGAUAAGUCAGGAAGUGAGGGGCAUACUCUAGAAGAAGCAAAGUCGAUUAAUCUAUCAUUAAGUGCUUUAGGCAAAUGCAUUAAUGCACUUGCUGAAAAUAGUCCACAUGUUCCAGUUCGUGAUUCAAAGUUGACAAGACUGCUUCGAGAUUCAUUUGGAGGCAGUGCAAGAACUUCGUUAGUGGUGACUAUUGGUCCAUCUCCUCGCCAUAGAGGAGAAACUGCAAGCACCAUAAUGUUUGGACAAAGAGCAAUGAAGGUGGAGAACAUGGUGAAACUAAAGGAAGAAUUUGAUUAUAAAAGCUUGUGCAGGAGGCUUGAUAUUGAGCUUGAUAAGUUAAUGGCAGAGAAUGAAAGGCAAAGAAAAGAUUUUGAAGAUGAGAUUGAGAGAAUAAGGACAGAAGCUGACAGCCAAGUUGCUGAAGUUGAAAAAGGCUACAAUAACACUCUUGAGAAUGAGAGGCUAAAGUACCAACAAGACAAUAUGGACUCAAUCAAGAAGCUUGAGGAGAAGUGGAUGGCUAAUGUGAAUAGAGCCAGAGUAGAACAUCAGAAUGCGUGUCUAGAAAAGGCUCCAACAACAUCCAGCUCAGCUGAUAUUGUCGAAGUCAGACAGUCACUCGAGAAUGAAAAGAUAUUGCGACAAUCUACAGAAGAGGUGGUUAUGAACCUCAAAUGUGAAAUAUCACACUGGAAAAGAUUAGAGGCAGCUGGCAAUUCUGAAAUUGUGAAACUUCGCAAGAUGCUGGACAGUGAAGCCAAUCAGAAACAUAAACUUGAAGAAGAAAUAGCAAUACUGAGAAGUCAGUUGUUGCAGUUAAGUUUUCAAGCUGAUGAGACAAGUAGGAGUCUUGACAGAGGUGAGUCUGGAAAAGCCUUAACCGGAUUUGAUUCCCUUGUACCACAAGCUAGGCAUCCCCAGCUUAGAGAUUCAGCAAAUGGACCGAAGGCCUCAAUUGCUAAACUUUUUGAACAAGUGGGUUUGCAAAAAAUAUUGUCAUUGCUUGAAUCAGAAGAUCAUGAUGUUCGAGUUCAUGCAGUGAAAGUUGUAGCAAACCUGGCAGCCGAAGAAGCAAACCAGGAUAAGAUUGUAGAAGCUGGUGGUCUUACGUCAUUGCUGAUGCUUCUAAGAAACUCAGAGGAUGAGACUAUACGUAGAGUAGCAGCUGGUGCAAUUGCCAACCUUGCGAUGAAUGAAACCAACCAAGAGCUCAUAAUGGCUCAAGGUGGCAUUGUCUUGUUAUCUAUGACUGCUGCUGAUGCUGAGGACCCUCAAACACUUCGAAUGGUUGCUGGAGCCAUUGCUAAUCUAUGUGGAAACGAUAAGCUACAGAUGAAGCUUAGUGUAGAAGGUGGCAUUAAAGCCUUGCUAGGUAUGGUUAGGUGUGGGCACCCUGAUGUUCUCGCACAAGUUGCACGUGGCAUUGCAAACUUUGCAAAAUGUGAGUCACGAGCUUCUACUCAAGGAAAUAAGGUGGGUGUAUCUCUCUUAAUUGAAGAUGGAGCUCUUCCAUGGAUCGUAAAAAAUGCCAACCAUGAUGCUUCACCUAUAAGACGCCACAUUGAGCUUGCACUGUGCCACUUGGCACAACAUGAAGUCAAUGCAAAAGAUAUGAUCAAUGAGGGAGCUUUGUGGGAACUGGUUCGCAUCUCACGUGAUUGUUCACGAGAGGAUAUUAGAAUGCUGGCACACAGAACUCUGAUCUCAAGUGCUACUCUCCGGACAGAAUUGAGACGAUUGCACAUUGAAUUUUAAGAUGCCAAAAGUAGCCUGCCAUCUGCACAGUAUCUUGGCUUAGGUGUAUCUGGUUGUUUGUGAGCUUCAUAUCUCAGAGCGUUUGUAAAAGAAGAUAACAAAGGUUUGCCUAGCAUCUGCUUAGUACAAAACCAGUGGCGCAUGGAAGUAAUUAUCAUCCUUCAGCCAAAAGAGGUCAAGUUUUUCCUGCCAUUGGUUGGUGUCUGUUCAAACUGGUUAUGACUUGAGACCCUAAAUUCGGAUCUGCCCACACUGCAAAUGUAUUUGUUGAAGGUACUGUGUGAUCAAGACACUACCAAGCUGUGGUCAAUGAGGUCAAGAAAAUCUAUCCAAGGUAUAUGCUCCUUUGACUUUGCAAAACCAAUGUAAUUGUCUGUUAGUGGGGCAUCAACUCCCAACAAAGUGCCCACGGAUAUUCCAAUCAGUAACUAAUAUUCUGUGGUAGGAUUAUCGGAGGCAUUGACAGAUCACACAGACAGGAGAAUUCAUUCAAUAUGAUAUUACAGGUUCAAACUGCAACAUUUUGCUCAUGCUUGCUACUACCAGCCAUCACAUCUCACUCUUCGGUCCACUGCUCUGUUGCCGGAAAGCUGAAAAGGAGAUCUACAGCUGGUAGCUGCUUGAUUGGAAAGCAGCAGCAAAUCCUGAGAACAAAGGCUUACUAGAUUUGGUACAGAUCAUGGAAGUAUCAAAGCUUUUGGAGGUGCAUGGAUUUGGCUUCAUGCUUUUGCUCAAAGUUAUCUUAUGGUAGUGUUUUCCUGCUGUCUUAAAAUCUUUAGAAUGGUGCAGAUUUUAAAGCUUCUCAAAAUCUCAUUAGUAUACUGUACUUCUGUGGCGACCUCGGAGAUCUCUUGAUGGAUCAUGUCCAUUGUUGCCAUCCACAAGACCCAACUACGUACAGCAGCAGCAGCAAACAGUAUGGCACUGUUUCCCACUCAUCGAUGGCGGGCACCCAUCCAAGAGGUGUGGCCGUCCCCUUUCGGUACCACGAAGCACAGAUUACUCGCACAACCCGCAUGAGAACAUUUAAUUUGCUGCUGCUUGGAGUUGUCAUCUUUGGAAAGCUCAUGACAUGAGAACUUUCGCUGCUCUGGAGAGACAGAAAUGAUGACUGAGGAGGCCUCUGUUUUACCUUCCGUCACAGGACUUCAAUGCCCACGGUUCACCCUGUACAUUGCCAAUAUGACUUGUGUCAGUCCUAUAGCAUUGACAUCAGGUCAAGAACA
Molecule: RNA transcript, 4120 nt
Organism: Musa acuminata AAA Group (dessert banana)
Lineage: Eukaryota; Viridiplantae; Streptophyta; Magnoliopsida; Zingiberales; Musaceae
Gene name: kinesin-like protein KIN-UB
Exons: 22
Source: RefSeq, a predicted model, not a curated record